GCAAGAUUAAAACUCAAAGGAAUAGACGGGGACCCGCACAAGCGGUGGAGCAUGUGGUUUAAUUCGACGAUACGCGAAGAACCUUACCUGGCCUUGACAUAGAGAGAAUCUUUUAGAGAUAGAAGAGUGCUAGUUUACUAGAACUUUCAUACAGGUGCUGCACGGCUGUCGUCAGCUCGUGUCGUGAGAUGUUGGGUUAAGUCCCGCAACGAGCGCAACCCUCGUGUUUAGUUACUAACAGUUCGGCUGAGGACUCUAAACAGACUGCCUGGGUAACCAGGAGGAAGGUGAGGACGACGUCAAGUCAUCAUGGCCCUUACGGCCAGGGCUACACACGUGCUACAAUGGGGUAUACAAAGAGCAGCAAUACGGUGACGUGGAGCAAAUCUCAUAAAAUAUCUCCCAGUUCGGAUUGAAGUCUGCAACUCGACUUCAUGAAGUUGGAAUCGCUAGUAAUCGUAGAUCAGCAAUGCUACGGUGAAUACGUUCCCGGGUCUUGUACUCACCGCCCGUCACACCAUGGGAAUUGAAUUCAUUCGAAGCGGGGAUGCUAAAAUAGCUACCUUCCACAGUGGAUUUAGUAACUAGGGUGAAGUCGUAACAAGGUA
This 608-nucleotide ribosomal RNA is filed under the name uncultured bacterium. RNAcentral's name for it is "bacterial SSU rRNA". It matches the Rfam family "Bacterial small subunit ribosomal RNA", at positions 888 to 1498 of the family's 1533-position model. The record is from RNAcentral.